This 2932-nucleotide long non-coding RNA is filed under the name Canis lupus familiaris (dog). RNAcentral describes it as "lncRNA (ENSCAFG00000051225.1)". The record is from RNAcentral. Lineage: Eukaryota; Metazoa; Chordata; Mammalia; Carnivora; Canidae.
UUUUUUUUUUUUUUAAUUUUUUAAAAUAUUAUUUAUUUAUUCAUGAGAGACAGACAGAGAGAGAGAAAGAGAGGGAGAGAGAGAGAGAGGCAGAGACGCAGGCAGAGGGAGAAGGAAGCUCCAUGGAGGGAGCCCGAUGUGGGACUUGAUCCCGGGUCUCUAGGAUCACGCCCCGGGCUGAAAGCGGCGCUAAACCGCUGAGCCACCCAGGCUACCCUAGUUGCUCUCUUUGAUGAGGCUUGUGUAUAACUGGAUCAAAUAAGAUCAUGUGUCUGAGAGAGUAUUUUACAAACUGUAGGGUGCUAUACUAAUGUUAGUAAUCAAAAUACCAUACAUGAUAUGAGAACUACAUUUAUACAGAAGUGGAUCAGAUGCUUCUUAUAAUGUUCUUGUACAAUAAGCUAAGGAGAAAUGUUUGUACUUUGGAUCCAGGAAGAACAAACACUGUGGUGGAUAACACAGUUGGUCCUGCCUGCCGUCAAGUGCCCACCAUGAAAGGAGCCUGCAAAACCUCUGGCUGCCUCUAGCUACCUCUAGCUCUCUCUGUCCCCCAAACCAUCCAGGGGGUUAUUCUGAAGAGAUCUUCUAAGCAUACCUGUUAAACCACAAGAUCAUAGUCACAAUGGGUGCAGGGAAUCCUCCCAAUUUCCUCUGGGAGCCCAGAAUCUGAGAGCAGCCUUCACUGAUAUGCAAGUAGAGUGGAUUUGGUGGAGAACAUGAGAGCAAAUGUAGCAUCUUCUUAAUUUCUUAAAACAUCUCUCAAAAUACUUCAAGUCUCCUUUAGGUUCAAUUUAACAUUUUACUUCUCUCAGCUUCCAGCUGACAGCAUGAAAAAAACCAAAUUGGUGUUGGCUGGUUGUGUUUUUUUAACCUAAUGACAAGCCUGGCUUAGAAUUAUUCAACCAUUCUUCAGGCUCCCAAUACUGUGUGUCUAUAGAUAAACAGGCAUAUAUAUUAUCUACUUUUGUUUACUUCUCCCCAAAUGGAAGUCCAUUAAUUUCCCAAUAUAGUUUACAGAAUGACUUGCCUGUUCCCAGCACAGAGAAUAUAUUAAUCCUUAGUCCUGAAAUGUUUAAGUUAGAAAAUAAUGGAAACAGAAAAAAUAGAGGGACCAAGACAACUCAUUUAUUUCAGAUAUUCACCCUAAACUACUUCAGAAAUGCCAGCAAUGAAUUAAACCAGAAUUCAAGAGGAAUGACCUAAAUCACACUUCACCAGAGUUCCUUAGCAGAAAUAGCACUUUAGGUCUAGAAUGGAAGAGCUUGAUGAUAUCUUGAGUCAAGUAGCAUGAACUUAGCUUCAACUGGUCUGGGGAUAAAGAAUCUAUAUUGUUGGUCUCUGCACAGAAACCUCACAGUCAAGUAUAAGGUACUGAUACCCUGUGAUAUGUUAGUGUGGAGGAGAGCUGCCUUGAAAAAUGGGCAACAUCUCUUCAUUUCUUUUUUUAGUAGGCUCUAUGCCCAGUGUGGUGGGGCUUGAACACAAAAGUUGCAUACUCUACCUAGGGAGCCAACCAGGUGCCCCAAGAUCUUUCCUUGCUCACUAAAUCAUAAACUAAAUCUGCUCCUCUACUUCUGUGGUCUCUUCCUGCUUUAAUUUUCCCUAGGCACAAAUGAAGUGGCCCUACAGGGAUCAAUCAACUCCCUUUUCCAUAAGGUAAACUGAAGGCUGAGGAUCCCAGUGUCCAAUGGUUGGUAAAGUCGAGGGUUGUGAUUGAGGCAAAAAUCAGGGACUUGGGAUUCCUUUGGGCUGCUGGUUGUCACUCUCAGCUAACUCACUUCUGAGCCCUUUUCAGGUUUUGAGGACGGUCCAGUUAUUUUCCCAAACCUCUUUGGGGCCACAGGAAACAAGGCUGUCACUUCAUUCAUUUCUCCUACUGUACAACCAUCUCUUCUCUGUUGACUCUAUCUCACUGUGGCAUAAGCACAGCUGCAGAGCUACCCUCCCUAGAUAGGAAGUAGAUGCAAACUCCACCACUCUCAGUUUCCUCAAAGUUGAUCUGGUGUGCCCUACCCCAACCACAGUCCUGUCUCUUCUGAGGGGAUCCACCUUGGGAAAAUGAUGGGACUAGGGCCUCUCUAGGAAACCAUCUAUCCCUACAGUCCGUGUAACACUACUAUAAUCCUCAAGAGAAGGUUACCUUGGAUGGAGAAUGGGAAAGGAGUUCUUUUGGACCAGUUAUUUGUCUACUGGUUAGGGCCAAAUCAUUGCUGCUUGCUCAGAAGUACUUUUCUCCCAAGACUACGUCUUGUGUUCUCAUACGGAUCUCAAAACCUGAGCAACCAACUUUUUUGUUUGGCAUUCCAGCUGUAUCCACCCCACUUUUCCCUGGGGCAGGGCAUGUCUUGGACUGUAGGGUGUGAGAGGGAAGUGAAGUGUGUGAUGUUGAUGGUAGCAGGGAAGACUCAAUGUCUCAAAACAUUCUUCUGCUCUACUGGCAUGGGCCUGUCACCAUGCUAAGUGCUUUAGACCCAUGUUAUCCUCAGAAUAAUUCCCCAAAUUACUACCAUUCUCCUUUCCAGGUGAAGAAAUGGGAGCUCAGUGAGAGGAUAGGUAACUUACUCAAAGAUCCCAGUUAUAAGUGGUGGAAACAGAAUGAAAUUUAGGAUUAUUUAAAUUCCAAAGCCUUCAUUUGACACCCCAACAGGGGUCUCAUCACCUUGGUGAACAAUUGACUCUCCAGGGAGUUUGCUAAAAAUAAUUUUGAUAAAGAUCCACUUCAAGUGAUCCCAAUCCCUACUGGUCUGUGAUGGGGCCUGGUCAUCUGUAUUUUGAAUAGUUUCUGUAAGUAAUGCAGAUGCCUCUCCUCCCCUCCCCCCUGCAGAGUUUUAGAGCCAGCUCUGCCACCUGUUAAUUGGGCGAUCUGGGACAGAUGAUUGCUCCUUUGUUGCCUUAGUUCCUCAUUUAUGAAAUGGGGGAUGCUGAUAGUACC